This 45-nucleotide ribosomal RNA is filed under the name Candida tropicalis. RNAcentral describes it as "partial 28S ribosomal RNA". RNAcentral also lists the same sequence under 46 other names. The record is from RNAcentral. Lineage: Eukaryota; Fungi; Ascomycota; Pichiomycetes; Serinales; Debaryomycetaceae.
UGACCUCAAAUCAGGUAGGACUACCCGCUGAACUUAAGCAUAUCA